UUGGUGCAGAAUGCCCUCAGAAGUAGAAUUACUAACCAUGCGACAGUUGGCUGCGGAGACACAGCUCCAGAAAUCAACAGGGUCUGGAAGGGAGUGGAAAGAUGCACCUGGUAUCACCAAAGAAAGGAUAGGAAAUCUGUUCAAUCUAAGUCCAAAAGAAGAAAAAAGAAGUAAAGAGGAAAGUCAGGAUCAUCUUCAUAGGAGGAAGGUGAACUCUCAAUCUCAGUGUGAAUCGCAGAAUGAAGCAAAGCAAGAGAAUCUUCUCCCAGCUGAAUCAUAUGUGAAGAUGUUAUGAAAGGUGAUUAGAUACUUGGUUGUUCCAUCAGAUGAGCCCAUUAGAAAAGAUUCUGAGGAGGAGGAAGGAGAGAGGGUUGGUACAGAAAUUACCAAAAAGUAUUUUCCAACUGCUUCAAAAUCUGAACCACACAUUCUCUUCACAAAAUAAUUAAGGUCAAAAGGAGAACACCAGCAAAGUCUAUGACAGUGGUUCCCAAACUUUUCCCCCCCAAGGACCUGUUUGGCACCUUAUUAAGUGUCCCGGACCCCUUUUAUUUCCAGUACUACUGGAAUGCCCUCCCUAGCUUGGGAAUGCUCCUUCCAGUGUGACCCAUGCACUGUGUGCAUUCUGGCUCUGGCUCAAGGGAUGGGCCCCCACAUAACCCACGACAGACCCGUCCAGGAAUCCCAUUUUGUGAACCACUGGUCCAUGAGGCAUGUCAAAAAAUUCUACAAUGUGUACCAUAGCAGAGCAGAUUUUGUCUCUUCCCAAAGUGGAUGUAGCUGUUUCAGUAUUAGUCAAAGACACUGCUAACCUAGUUGAAGGGUAGUUUUUCCCAAAAGAACCCACAGAAUAGAAAUAUCAUUGCACUCUGUUUGAGGCUGCAUCUUCCUCUCUGAGGGCUUCUGCUGUGACAUGUUUUGCAAGAGUAAUAUAGGCCUGGGCUGACAGUUUGGCAAUCAGAUUUGCCCUCUCCCCCCCCAAAAAAAGGCUUAGAAAUCAUUACAGGUAGUUUUGGAGUUAAAGGAAAUCUCAAUGGCUUCACCAUUCAUAGCUGCUACAACAAGGGAUGUUUUAAUGUUUUCAGCACAUGCCAUGGUCUCCAAAGUGAUGACCAGAUGGCACCUCUGGUUAUGAGCCUGGAAAGGCAAUAUACAGGCCAAACUCAUGUUAUCAGUUUUGAAAUAUCCAGGAGGUUGGCUAUCAAUGGAGCCAUUACACAAGUGGUGGUGGAAUACUCAGAUAAAUCAAAAAAGCCCUUAGAGAACCCCUCUAAAUCCAGGAAAAAGGGAUAGCCUACCUUAUUACGGGUCUAAAUAUCCUUUUCAUGGCUACUCCUCUAUGUACAGAAGGUGAGAUUACAGCAAAAGCAAAUGGAACAAGUCUAAACCCAGAAAGGGCAGAGACCAAUCUUCCAGCAAUGCAAAUUCCAAUAUUAGAAACAAUGCCUGACUACAGUCAGGAAAGUUCUGACAAGCAACGCCUAGAGGGGAAACUAUUACAAUUCAAGGACCAAUGAUCUCUCUCUACAUUGGAGAGAUGGGUCUUGGAUGUGUGGUUCAACAAGGAUACAUCACAAAAUUGUCAAUGAUUCCAAAUUGCUGUUUUCUCCCUUCUCCAGUAUACUCAAAUCUGCAAAAGAGACCAAAAAAAAA
Trachemys scripta elegans is the source of this 1653-nucleotide long non-coding RNA. RefSeq lists it as uncharacterized. The transcript is spliced from 2 exons. The record is from RefSeq and is a predicted model, not a curated record. NCBI's taxonomy places the organism in Eukaryota, Metazoa, Chordata, Testudines, Emydidae.